CUCUCUCUCUCUCUCUCUCUUCCUGACAAAUACGCUUUCAUCAUCUUCUUCUUCAUCUAAUCCCCACCAAACCCUUCAUCGGUUUCUUCAUGGAUCGGAAACUCGUCUCCUCGCCGGUCCUGUGGAAGCUCUCCGAUCUGCUUCUCAACGAGUCUGUCCCAUUUCUUGGAUUAGAAGAUCAGCUCGAAAGCAUCGAGAGUAAGCUCAGAGAUAUUGUUAACUCUGACUUCUUUGAUUGCAAGAGGGACCUUGUUUAUGACAUUGAAGAGGUCAUCGAUUUCUUGCUCCAAAAAGCUGCUCACAGAAGCCAAACAGGUACCCUUUUCCAAUAUUUUUUGGGUUUCUUUGAUUCUAUCGAUCAACGCACGCUUCGUAAGAAGUUGGAUCGAAUCAGGCUUGAAAUUUUUCGUUCUACUGAUAAAUUAAGUCGCCGGAAGGUAAUGGAGUCAUGGCCUGCUUCUUCGUCGUCUUCUUCGUCUUCAACGAGGAAGCAGCUUGAUGUGGGUGAGAGUAUUAUGUCUCCUGUAAUCAGGAAAGUUAUUGCCCUAGCUAGUCACAGUCAAAUUAGCCCUUCGGUGAGAAGGCGAGCCAGAUGGGUAAGAGAUGAAAUGAGGUUCUUGCAUGUUUUUGUCAAGGAUUUAGAGUCCAAAGAAUUGAGAGGAGAAGAAAUGGCUUGGAUGGAAGAAGUUUCCCUGUUUUCUCGCUCGGCGGAGGACGUUGUUGGGCUCUUCUUGUCUCAGUGGGAACAGACCCAGAAGUCUCCUUUCAAGCAUAUUGCUUCGGCUUCCUGCAAAUUCAAGUCACAGCGUAAGCUUCGCAAGGAGAUGGAUCAGAUGAAGAUUAAAGUUCAAGAAAUCAUCAAAAGGUUUGGUAAACUCCCACAUCAAAUGUAUAUGCCACCUCCCCGAUUUCCUCCAAAUUUACCACCACCACCUCCUAUUCCUUUUCAACCCAACUUUCCUGGUCGGUUUGUUCCCAAUAUUCCAGGAGAUGCAACCUCAUUGUCUUCUUUUGAUGAUGAUGAUUUUGCCGAUGAAUUUGAUGAAAUAGAUGAUGGAACACCGCCCCCUCCUGAUGAACAAUCUCAGCAACCUGGUUUCAAUAACUUUGAUGGCAAUGCCGGUGCUUCCUCCUCAUCAUCUUCUCGCAGAGCUGAACAACCUGAUAUUACUGGCUUCGAUAGCAAUAUGGAUGAUAUUAUGGAGUUAUUGCUCAGAGGUGAUCCAGAUUGUCUUACAGUUUCACUUCUGGGUAUGGAAGGCAUUGGUAAGACAAAGCUUGCUAAGUCUAUUUAUGAAAAUCCUGCUAUUAGAGAUCAUUUCCCUCAUCGUGCUUGGGUCAGUUGGGUGCGUGACUCUAAUAUCAAUCGCCUUAUGGAACAAAUAGUAGGGCCUCAGUAUUUAAACAUUAGACUUGUGAAUGGGGAUUGGGAUGAUUAUUUAUGCAGGUUGAGGCGGAUGCUGAAUGAUUACUUGAUGGAUAAGAGGUAUCUCAUUGUUAUUGAUGGGUUAUCCUCUAAGGUCUUAUGGAAUCAACUUGGAGCUGCAUUUGAUGGCCUAUCAAAUGGGACUAGAAUAAUUUUCAUUUCUUCCAAAUUAGGGGUAACUCCAGAAAGCAGUGAGAGAAACUUCACUUACAGGUUGCAAUUGUGGAGUGAUGAUGACAGCUGGGCAUUGUUUGUUCGUUCUCUGAAUGUGAACAUCCCCUUAGAGCUGCUAGAACUGAAAAAGAAGGCAAUUUUGAGAAUUUGUGGGGGGUUACCAAAGGCAAUUGUGAAACUUGCAGAACUUCUGGCAAGGGAAAAUACAUUUGCAGAGGACUGGUCAAGGGUGAUUGAGAAAUUCAAUAGAGAUGAAGGACCUUGGUCAGGAACCUUGCAGGAGAUCAACAAAAAUUUGCCAUUAUAUUUGAGGAGAUGUCUCUUUUAUUUUCGAUUAUUCCCUGAGCACUACGAGAUUCCCGUGAGAAGAUUGAUUGGAUUAUGGGUUGCAGAGGGUUUUGGGCACCAAAGCAAUGAUAAAGAGUCUCCAGAACGUGUCUCAGAGAAAUGUUUGAUAGAGUUAGCUAACUGGAGCACAAUUCAAGUUACAAAGAAAAAACUAAAUGGAAAAUUUAGGACAUGUCGCUUGCCUGAUGCUCUGCGAGUGCACUGGCUAUUAAAAACCAAGGAGGCUAAAUUUCUGCAAGAUAAUGGCCAUAUUGGUGGCAAUUUGUCCACCAGCAGUGGUACAAUAUAUCGACUUGUUGACCAUCUUGACCGGAGGCAUGCCAGCUUUGAUCAUAUCCACGGAGACAAUGCUACUCCCUCAUCUCUGUACUCCUGUUAUAAAGACACUGUAUCAUUUCUAUCCUUUGAUGGUCAAGAAGGAAGCAGACCUGGAGAAGAUGUAGGGAAUUUUCUUCAACGAUGCAUCUUAAGCAAGUGUUUCAGUUCUCUAUGGGUGCUAGAUCUUGAACAUGUGUACAAGCCAAAAUUGCCCAAAGCAGUAGGCCAGUUAGCUCGAUUGAAGUACCUUGGCUUGAGGUCAACAUACCUGGAAAUGCUUCCUGUGUUUAUUAACAAAUUGCCAAAGCUUCAAACGCUGGAUUUGAAGCAUACUCACAUCAAUGCUCUCCCCAGUUCCAUAUGGAUGAUGCAGGAAUUGCGACACUUAUUCCUUGAUGAGAGUUCCUGCUGCACAUUUGUUUCUCAACCAAAAGGCAGCUGCUUAGUGGAUCUCCAAACACUUUGGGGUGCUUUUGUAAAUGAGGAUAGCCCAGUGAAAGAUGGCCUGGACACAUUUCUGAACGUCACAAAAUUGGGUUUGACAUGCAAGAUAUCAGAGCCAUCUCAGAAUGAGGCAAUGUCCUCUCAACUUGAUGCUGUAGCAAAUUGGGUUCUAAAGCUAAAUCAUCUGCAAUCUUUGAAGUUGAAAUCAUUUAAUGAAUCAGGUCAGCCAUCGGAUCUACACUUAGAGUCAUUAGCAGAUCACAUGGAUCUGUCCAGUAUACAUUUGGUUGGAAAUCUGAGGACUCAGAGUCUUGUGUCAGAGUUCCCACAAAACCUCAUUGAGCUCACUUUGUCAGCAUCUGGACUAGUGGAAGAUCCAAUGCAAUCAUUGGGCAGGCUUCCCAACCUCAGAAACGUGAGGUUAUUCUCUGGGGCCUACGCCGGAAAGAAAAUGGUUUGCACUUUUGGAGGAUUUCCUAAGCUUCAAGUCCUCAAAGUCUGGGAGCUAGAGCAACUAGAGGAAUGGAAUGUAGAGGAAGGGGCACUGCCUAGUCUGAAAUGCCUGGAAAUCAGAUCCUGUAGAAAUUUGGAGAUGGUUCCUAAUGGAUUGCAGUAUGUCAAGACUCUAUGCAAAUUAAAAUUAGCAAAUAUGCCGGUGUUGUCAGCAAGGAUUAAGGAUAAUCAAGGUGAGGAUUGGGAUAAAGUUGCUCAUGUACUCCAUGUGUACACAGAAAGCUGAUUAUGCUGAGGAGUAAACCCAUUACCGUAAGUAUGCACUCUUCUUCUAUGACCUUUCAAUACAGCUCUUUUCUUUUUUGGUUAACAGUCAUUAACUUCCUCAUUAAUAAAUAACUCGCUGCAAUUAUUUGUUUUGAUUGUGAAGGAAUUUGUCCCAGGAUUCAUGAUUCAUACUUAAUUGCUGGUGGUAUUUUGAUGCACCUGGAGAUCUUCUAUUGGCUUCUUUUUGUGUACUUGUGCAAAUAGGAAAUAUGUGCUGAAUAAUCUUAUCGUUUAUAUAAUUCUAACAGGGGCAUAUGGGAUGGUGAAAGUUGGUUGCUAAGGUAGCUUUGGAUGAAAAUUUAGAAGAUGUGUUUUGAUCUUUCCUCUAAAGUGGCAUCAAUGCUUCUCAUUUCAGCUGUUUUGAUUAGCUGCAGCCUAUGUAUUAGUCCAGUAAUUUGAUGAAAUUAUUGUUGCUGCUGCUUCUGCUGAUUCUGUGAUGUGCUGAUUCUGUGAUGAUCAUCAUCAUUUUCAAUAUUCUUGUCAUUUCAUUUUGGUUGCUUGUUGAUGUUGCUUUUAUUAGUGUCGUCCUAACUUUCCCUGAA
Molecule: unclassified non-coding RNA, 4032 nt
Filed under: Hevea brasiliensis (rubber tree)
Lineage: Eukaryota; Viridiplantae; Streptophyta; Magnoliopsida; Malpighiales; Euphorbiaceae
Source: RNAcentral